RNAcentral lists this ribosomal RNA (253 nucleotides) under uncultured bacterium. RNAcentral describes it as "partial 16S ribosomal RNA". It matches the Rfam family "Bacterial small subunit ribosomal RNA", at positions 524 to 776 of the family's 1533-position model. The record is from RNAcentral.
UACGUAGGGUGCAAGCGUUGUCCGGAAUUAUUGGGCGUAAAGAGCUCGUAGGCGGUCUGUCGCGUCGGCUGUGAAAACCCGGAGCUCAACUCCGGGCCUGCAGUCGAUACGGGCAGACUGGAGUUCGGCAGGGGAGACUGGAAUUCCUGGUGUAGCGGUGAAAUGCGUAGAUAUCGGGAGGAACACCAAUGGCGAAGGCAGCUCGCUGGGACGUGACUGACGCUGAGGAGCGAAAGCUAGGGGAGCAAACGGG